This 779-nucleotide ribosomal RNA is filed under the name uncultured Ilumatobacter sp. Its description in RNAcentral is "bacterial SSU rRNA". It matches the Rfam family "Bacterial small subunit ribosomal RNA", at positions 8 to 796 of the family's 1533-position model. The record is from RNAcentral. Lineage: Bacteria; Bacillati; Actinomycetota; Acidimicrobiia; Acidimicrobiales; Ilumatobacteraceae.
AGAGUUUGAUCCUGGCUCAGGACGAACGCUGGCGGCGUGCUUAACACAUGCAAGUCGAACGAGGUCCAGCCAAUCUUCGGAAAGGCGAAGACCUAGUGGCGAACGGGUGCGUAACACGUGAGAAACUUGCCCCAGACUUGGGAAUAACAGUCGGAAACGACUGCUAAUACCGAAUACCUUCGUAGCGUCGCAUGGCGCAUCGAAGAAAGCUUUUGCGGUUUGGGAGGGUCUCGCGGCCUAUCAGCUAGUUGGUGAGGUAACGGCUCACCAAGGCAUCGACGGGUAGCUGGUCUGAGAGGAUGAUCAGCCACACUGGGACUGAGACACGGCCCAGACUCCUACGGGAGGCAGCAGUGGGGAAUCUUGCACAAUGGGCGAAAGCCUGAUGCAGCAACGCCGCGUGCGGGAAGAAGGCCUUAGGGUUGUAAACCGCUUUCAGCAGGGAAGAAAAUGACGGUACCUGCAGAAGAAGGUGCGGCCAACUACGUGCCAGCAGCCGCGGUGACACGUAGGCACCAAGCGUUGUCCGGAUUUAUUGGGCGUAAAGAGCUCGUAGGCGGUUCAGUAAGUCGGGUGUGAAAACUCUGGGCUCAACCCAGAGACGCCACCCGAUACUGCUGUGACUUGAGUACGGUAGGGGAGUGGGGAAUUCCUGGUGUAGCGGUGAAAUGCGCAGAUAUCAGGAGGAACACCAGUGGCGAAGGCGCCACUCUGGGCCGUAACUGACGCUGAGGAGCGAAAGCGUGGGUAGCAAACAGGAUUAGAUACCCCUGUAGUCC